GAGUUUGAUCCUGGCUCAGGACGAACGCUGGCGGCGUGCCUAAUACAUGCAAGUAGAACGCUGAAGGAGGGAGCUUGCUUCUUCUGGAUGAGUUGCGAACGGGUGAGUAACGCGUAGGUAACCUGCCUGAUAGCGGGGGAUAACUAUUGGAAACGAUAGCUAAUACCGCAUAAGAGGUAAUAACACAUGUUAUUAGUUUAAAAGGGGCAAUUGCUCCACUAUCAGAUGGACCUGCGUUGUAUUAGCUAGUUGGUAAGGUAACGGCUUACCAAGGCGACGAUACAUAGCCGACCUGAGAGGGUGAUCGGCCACACUGGGACUGAGACACGGCCCAGACUCCUACGGGAGGCAGCAGUAGGGAAUCUUCGGCAAUGGGGGCAACCCUGACCGAGCAACGCCGCGUGAGUGAAGAAGGUUUUCGGAUCGUAAAGCUCUGUUGUAAGAGAAGAACGGAUGUGGGAGUGGAAAAUCCAUGUCGUGACGGUAUCUUACCAGAAAGGGACGGCUAACUACGUGCCAGCAGCCGCGGUAAUACGUAGGUCCCGAGCGUUGUCCGGAUUUAUUGGGCGUAAAGCGAGCGCAGGCGGUUUCAUAAGUCUGAAGUUAAAGGCAGUGGCUUAACCAUUGUACGCUUUGGAAACUGUGAGACUUGAGUGCAGAAGGGGAGAGUGGAAUUCCAUGUGUAGCGGUGAAAUGCGUAGA
RNAcentral lists this ribosomal RNA (702 nucleotides) under uncultured bacterium. RNAcentral describes it as "bacterial SSU rRNA". It matches the Rfam family "Bacterial small subunit ribosomal RNA", at positions 9 to 694 of the family's 1533-position model. The record is from RNAcentral.